UUAUCUUAUUCUCUGUUUCAAGGGCAUACCAUCUUAAAAUGGCUGCAGUCUUUCAAUUUUCCUUAAUAGACAUAUUUUUAAUUUCUACCAUACAUCAUAACAGAAAUUUGGAACAGGUCACUUGUUCCAUUGACACAAUUUCUUAUUCCCACUGAACUAGAAUCCCCAAAUUUGCAGUAUUCAUUUAGGCCUUCAUUAUGUGCCACUGAAGUAUAAUGAAUACACGGAUGCCUCAGCAGCAGACCCAGAUGCCUUGCAAAAUAAUCAUGGAAAUUAACCAGCCCAGGCAGGAAAUCUACUCUUGCCCUUACCAUGAUCGUAUUGGUAUUAAUCAGGGGGAAAAGAAGCUAUUAACUGGCUCACAAAGACUAUGAAAGAAAUUAUUCAUUUCCAGUGAGUGAGAUGCUGGAGUUUGCACUAGAAAUCUGUGUUUUAUGGUCUCAGAAGAACCGCAGUUUGUGCUGGUGCCCAGAACCUACUCCCAUAGCCACUGUGGGCCUGGGGUGAAGCUUUUCAGCAGGAAAGCCUGAGGACAGGGUCUCGGCACUCAGAGACACAGAGGCACCAGCACCUGCUCAGGACAUGCUGCUUUGUUCAAUGCUUUUACAGGAAACUUUUGCAUGAAGAAAAUGCGUUAGGCUUCAUAGCGUUUCAUGCUGCACUUCUCAGAGGUUUCCCAGCACUGGAUCUGCUUUUGUGUUGCAGGUAUUGGGAGUAACUGCUGAAGUCUCUAGUGCUACAGCAAUGAAAUACUGGAAUUGGGUGUCUGAAAUAAAUCUGUUUCAACUGAGCUCUGGCUCAAAAGCAGGUUACUGUGGCUUAAUGAAUUAUCCUGUGUUCGCUGAACAACAUGUGUCCUUACAUAAAAGAAAACCAUACUGUCUGAGUCGUGUGGCUACAGCUGAGGACCGAGGCUGCUGUAACAGUGGUGACAGAGCUGCGAACAAAAGUUCCAAGGAAAUAGAAGCUUCAGAGAAGGCUGUUGGCAGAAUGUGA
Molecule: long non-coding RNA, 996 nt
Filed under: Anas platyrhynchos platyrhynchos (common mallard)
Lineage: Eukaryota; Metazoa; Chordata; Aves; Anseriformes; Anatidae
Description: lncRNA (ENSAPLG00000029336.1)
Source: RNAcentral